ACCAGGCCGACUAAAAACUUCAUGAUAUCUAGACAGCCCACAGUAGGUAUUGAUGAAAUGUGAUUUCUAUACAAUGCUCUAAAUGUCAAUGUGAAGAAAUUCAGUGAAGCUGAGGUAGGUGGCAUAAAUCUCUUAAGGCAGCCAAAUGCCUGGACAUCUAAUUAGUGAUAUAUAUAAAUGGGUGAUCAAGAU
Molecule: non-coding RNA, 192 nt
Filed under: Otolemur garnettii (small-eared galago)
Lineage: Eukaryota; Metazoa; Chordata; Mammalia; Primates; Galagidae
Description: Eukaryotic large subunit ribosomal RNA
Rfam family: Eukaryotic large subunit ribosomal RNA
Source: Rfam by way of RNAcentral